RNAcentral lists this ribosomal RNA (482 nucleotides) under uncultured bacterium. Its description in RNAcentral is "partial 16S ribosomal RNA". It matches the Rfam family "Bacterial small subunit ribosomal RNA", at positions 30 to 507 of the family's 1533-position model. The record is from RNAcentral.
AUUGAACGCUGGCGGCAUGCUUUACACAUGCAAGUCGAACGGCAGCGCGGGGCAACCUGGCGGCGAGUGGCGAACGGGUGAGUAAUACAUCGGAACGUACCCAGAAGUGGGGGAUAACGUAGCGAAAGUUACGCUAAUACCGCAUACGUUCUACGGAAGAAAGUGGGGGACCUUCGGGCCUCAUGCUUUUGGAGCGGCCGAUGUCUGAUUAGCUAGUUGGUGAGGUAAAGGCUCACCAAGGCGACGAUCAGUAGCUGGUCUGAGAGGACGACCAGCCACACUGGGACUGAGACACGGCCCAGACUCCUACGGGAGGCAGCAGUGGGGAAUUUUGGACAAUGGGCGCAAGCCUGAUCCAGCAAUGCCGCGUGAGUGAAGAAGGCCUUCGGGUUGUAAAGCUCCUUUGUCAGGGAAGAAACGGCUGAGGAUAAUACCUUCGGCUAAUGACGGUACCUGAAGAAUAAGCACCGGCUAACUACGUG